UAGUGCACUGAAUAGGAAUAGGGCGCCAUUUUGGAUGUAGUCUUUACAGUAGUAGUUGUGACUGGGCCCUAUGCCAUUUAAGGUGGGUAAAGUGAAAGUGGAGUUGAGGUAGAAGCCAGGGCUAGUGGAGGCAGAAGAGGAGAGGUCAGGGGGACUCUCUAUCUCCAACACAUGGCAGCAGUACUGUACACUGUGCUGCUGGGUUUGACCAACAAGUGACUUCCUCAUCACCAAUGCAAUGCUGGUGGUUCAAGCCCAGUUAUUUCAUCAUCUGCUUAAUGCUGCCCCAGUCUCUUUAAUGAAACCACCUGUGGCUUUUAGUGCAGGUUUGUAGCUUGUUCUAAAGUAGCAGACAGUCUCACCGCUCACAAUGCAGACAAAUAAAUGGUCGGUUCCAUCAUUAUUAGAUUUCUUUGACGUGAAUGUUUUAGUUUUUUGGUUGAUGUCCUUCUGGUCUUUUUGGAAACCUUACAAGAUGUUGUAAUGAUAGAUGAACAGUGUCCGUGUCUUUCUCGUUACCUGACAGUGUUGUAGACAGUAAAACUGGUCCAAUCUGUGUACAACAGAAUAGUUCAUUAAGCCCAAUAUCCUUUUCAAAGCAACUGUACAAAACCAUUACCUGGGGUAAAACAUGUUUAAAGCCGUAGAAAAGUGAUUUUUAAUAAACACUCGUCACCUUAACUACUGAUUAGCUUACAGGGACUGCUAGAUCUAUCGCCUUCUGCUUAGCGCUUCAGUCGUCUCUCCUCACUGUAAACAUGUCUGCUACGGGAAAUCACUUGAAAACAGAUAGUAGAUUCUCAAUCAUUUGUCUUUACAGAGUGACUAUGUUGUCUCCUGGAUAUUUAAAACCGUUAAAAACAUUUGGGGUUUUCUUUGUAAAACGUUUUGUGGUAUGAACUUUUCGUUCUUACUGGAGGCCCUCAGUACAGCAGUAUGGUACUUACUGGAGGCCCUCAGUACAGCAGUACGGUACUUACUGGAGGCCCUCAGUACAGCACUACAGUACUUACUGGAGGCCCUCAGUACAGCAGUACGGUACUUACUGGAGGCCCUCAGUACAGCAGUAUGGUACUUACUGGAGGCCCUCAGUACAGCA
Long non-coding RNA from Oncorhynchus keta (chum salmon), 1099 nucleotides. RefSeq lists it as uncharacterized. NCBI's taxonomy places the organism in Eukaryota, Metazoa, Chordata, Actinopteri, Salmoniformes, Salmonidae. The transcript is spliced from 3 exons. The record is from RefSeq and is a predicted model, not a curated record.